Molecule: ribosomal RNA, 878 nt
Filed under: Octosporopsis nicolai
Lineage: Eukaryota; Fungi; Ascomycota; Pezizomycetes; Pezizales; Pyronemataceae
Description: eukaryotic LSU rRNA
Rfam family: Eukaryotic large subunit ribosomal RNA
Source: RNAcentral
AUUGCCUUAGUAACUGCGAGUGAAGCGGCAAAAGCUCAAAUUUGAAAUCUGGCACUUUUGGUGUCCGAGUUGUAAUUUGGAGGGGUAUCUUCGGAGAAUGGCACCGUUCUAUGUUCCUUGGAACAGGACAUCACAGAGGGUGAGAAUCCCGUGCUUGGACGGACCAGCCAUAAUCCACAUGAAGUGCCUCCGACGAGUCGAGUUGUUUGGGAAUGCAGCUCAAAAUGGGUGGUAAAUUUCAUCUAAAGCUAAAUAUUGGCGAGAGACCGAUAGCGCACAAGUAGAGUGAUCGAAAGAUGAAAAGCACUUUGAAAAGAGAGUUAAAAAGUACGUGAAAUUGUUGAAAGGGAAGCGCUUGAGAUCACACUCAGUUAAUGGUGAUCAACUGUUGCUUUUGCUCAGUGCACUUGCCAUUUGAUUGGGCCAGCAUCGGUUCUUGCAGUGGGAAAAACGGCUGGGGAAUGUAGCUCUUUCUCUGGAGGAGUGUUAUAGACCUUAUCAUUCAUACUGCUAGCUAGGACCGAGGACUGCACUCAUUUUAUGGGUUAGGAUGCUGGUGUUAAUGGUCUUAAGCGACCCGUCUUGAAACACGGACCAAGGAGUCUAACAACUAUGCGAGUGUUCGGGUGGAAAACCCUUGCGCGUAAUGAAAGUGAACGGAGGUGGGAACCUAAAAAAACAAAUUUUUUUUUCUUUUUUUCUGGUGCACCAUCGACCGAUCCUGAUGUUUUCGGAAGGAUUUGAGUAUGAGCAUAGCUGUUGGGACCCGAAAGAUGGUGAACUAUGCCUGAAUAGGGUGAAGCCAGAGGAAACUCUGGUGGAGGCUCGCAGCGGUUCUGACGUGCAAAUCGAUCGUCAAAUUUGGGUAUAGGGGCGAA